GCGCGAAACCUCCGCAAUGCACGCAAGUGCGACGGGGGAACCCCAAGUGCCACUCUUAACGGGGUGGCUUUUCAGAAGUGUAAAAAGCUUCUGGAAUAAGGGCUGGGCAAGACCGGUGCCAGCCGCCGCGGUAACACCGGCAGCUCAAGUGGUAGCCGCUUUUAUUGGGCCUAAAGCGUCCGUAGCCGGUCUGAUAAGUCUCUGGUGAAAUCCCACAGCUUAACUGUGGGAAUUGCUGGAGAUACUAUCAUGACUCGAGGUCGGGAGAGGCUGGAGGUACUCCCAGGGUAGGGGUGAAAUCCUGUAAUCCUGGGAGGACCACCUGUGGCGAAGGCGUCCAGCUGGAACGAACCUGACGGUGAGGGACGAAAGCCAGGGGCGCGAACCGG
This 389-nucleotide ribosomal RNA is filed under the name uncultured bacterium. Its description in RNAcentral is "bacterial SSU rRNA". It matches the Rfam family "Archaeal small subunit ribosomal RNA", at positions 339 to 727 of the family's 1478-position model. RNAcentral also lists the same sequence under 1 other name. The record is from RNAcentral.